GAUGAACGCUAGCUACAGGCUUAACACAUGCAAGUCGAGGGGCAGCAUUUCAGUUUGCUUGCAAACUGGAGAUGGCGACCGGCGCACGGGUGAGUAACACGUAUCCAACCUGCCGAUAACUCGGGGAUAGCCUUUCGAAAGAAAGAUUAAUACCCGAUGGUAUAAUCAGACCGCAUGGUCUUGUUAUUAAAGAAUUUCGGUUAUCGAUGGGGAUGCGUUCCAUUAGGCAGUUGGUGAGGUAACGGCUCACCAAACCUUCGAUGGAUAGGGGUUCUGAGAGGAAGGUCCCCCACAUUGGAACUGAGACACGGUCCGAACUCCUACGGGAGGCAGCAGUGAGGAAUAUUGGUCAAUGGGCGCAGGCCUGAACCAGCCAAGUAGCGUGAAGGAUGACUGCCCUAUGGGUUGUAAACUUCUUUUAUAUGGGAAUAAAGUUUUCCACGUGUGGAAUUUUGUAUGUACCAUAUGAACAAGGAUCGGCUAACUCCGUGCCAGCAGCCGCGGUAAUACGGAGGAUCCGAGCGUUAUCCGGAUUUAUUGGGUUUAAAGGGAGCGUAGGUGGACAGUUAAGUCAGUUGUGAAAGUUUGCGGCUCAACCGUAAAAUUGCAGUUGAUACUGGCUGUCUUGAGUACAGUAGAGGUGGGCGGAAUUCGUGGUGUAGCGGUGAAAUGCUUAGAUAUCACGAAGAACUCCGAUUGCGAAGGCAGCUCACUGGACUGCAACUGACACUGAUGCUCGAAAGUGUGGGUAUCAAACAGGAUUAGAUACCCUGGUAGUCCACACAGUAAACGAUGAAUACUCGCUGUUUGCGAUAUACAGUAAGCGGCCAAGCGAAAGCAUUAAGUAUUCCACCUGGGGAGUACGCCGGCAACGGUGAAACUCAAAGGAAUUGACGGGGGCCCGCACAAGCGGAGGAACAUGUGGUUUAAUUCGAUGAUACGCGAGGAACCUUACCCGGGCUUAAAUUGCAUUUGAAUAUAUUGGAAACAGUAUAGCCGUAAGGCAAAUGUGAAGGUGCUGCAUGGUUGUCGUCAGCUCGUGCCGUGAGGUGUCGGCUUAAGUGCCAUAACGAGCGCAACCCUUAUCUUUAGUUACUAACAGGUCAUGCUGAGGACUCUAGAGAGACUGCCGUCGUAAGAUGUGAGGAAGGUGGGGAUGACGUCAAAUCAGCACGGCCCUUACGUCCGGGGCUACACACGUGUUACAAUGGGGGGUACAGAAGGCAGCUACCUGGUGACAGGAUGCUAAUCCCAAAAGCCUCUCUCAGUUCGGAUCGAAGUCUGCAACCCGACUUCGUGAAGCUGGAUUCGCUAGUAAUCGCGCAUCAGCCAUGGCGCGGUGAAUACGUUCCCGGGCCU
RNAcentral lists this ribosomal RNA (1359 nucleotides) under uncultured bacterium. RNAcentral's name for it is "bacterial SSU rRNA". It matches the Rfam family "Bacterial small subunit ribosomal RNA", at positions 28 to 1381 of the family's 1533-position model. The record is from RNAcentral.